Molecule: small RNA, 704 nt
Filed under: Pan troglodytes (chimpanzee)
Lineage: Eukaryota; Metazoa; Chordata; Mammalia; Primates; Hominidae
Description: processed transcript
Source: RNAcentral
GCCCUGAAACUCUAAUCUCAUUGCCUGGCCAGAAAAGGAAGUAAUCCCUAGUGUCAGCAGAUUCAGCGGUACUGGUAUAUAAUAGAAUGAACUUCAUGAGCUUGAAAAAGAAAUAGCAGCUAUCUCUGCAGAAACUAAAGAAACAGAAAGACAAAUUUAUCAACAAGAUGCUGCCAUAGAGAAUACCAAACUUCAUUGUGAUAGCCUGGAAACUCAAAUCAAAUCCUUACAUUCAGAAAAUGUAAAGCUUAAAUUUGACAUAGAAACAGCCCAAGAAGAUUUUGAGGAACACAUGAAAAAAUAUAACGCAUAUUAUGCAAAAAUAAAAGCACAUAAAAAUAGUUUGGGGGAAGUAGAGAGCAAAUGGUCAUUUAUGACUGAACUCCAUGAAAAGCGAGAUUUUGUUAAAAAAUUAAAGACAAUGAAAGAAGAACUUAUGCAAGAUCUUCAAAAUCCAGGAGGGAACCGAAUAACACAAGUACAGGAAGACAUUACAAACUUAAAGGAUAAAAUUAUAACUGUAAAAGAAUCUAUCAUUGAAAAAACUUGUUUUCUUGAGGAAGAAAAAAAGACACAUGAAAAAUUAAGAAAAGAAAUAGAGGCAAAGCGAGAUGACCCAAUAGAAGCCUGCACCACUCAUUCCCCAAGCAGGAGCAUCAAAUUCUAACUACACUCAAGAGCACCAUCAUCACAAGAACCCAAAU